AAACUAGGAUUAGAUACCCUAUUAUUUUUGGAUGUUAAUGUUUUGCCUGAGUAGUACUAGUUAUGUUCUUGAAACUUAAAGAAUUUGGCGGUAUCUUAUUCCGUUCAGAGGAACCUGUCUCGUUAUCGAUAGUCCACGUUGGACCUUACUUAGUUGUUUUAUUGGUUUGUAUACCGCCGUUUAUUGAUUAUCUUUUUAGGGUUAUAUAAUUUUCUUGUUCCUCUAUUUGGUUUGAUUUCAGGUCAAGGUGCAGCUUUCUCUAAGUGUAUUGGUGGGUUACAUUGUUAUUUGGUGGUUUUGGAUUGUUGGUUUUAAUUACUGGCAUGAAAUUGGAUUUGAUUGUAAUAUUUUGAAGAUUGUUUUUAUGAUAAUUGGUUCUGAGGUAUGUACACAUCGCCCGUCGCUCUCGUUUUAUUUGUUAAUGAGAUAAGUCGUAACAUAGUA
This 444-nucleotide ribosomal RNA is filed under the name Reticulitermes hageni (light southeastern subterranean termite). RNAcentral's name for it is "partial 12S ribosomal RNA". Lineage: Eukaryota; Metazoa; Arthropoda; Insecta; Blattodea; Rhinotermitidae. The record is from RNAcentral.